RNAcentral lists this long non-coding RNA (266 nucleotides) under Lathyrus oleraceus (garden pea). RNAcentral's name for it is "Pisum sativum (pea) long non-coding RNA (PSAT_LNC027603)". The record is from RNAcentral. Lineage: Eukaryota; Viridiplantae; Streptophyta; Magnoliopsida; Fabales; Fabaceae.
UCAAAGCCGGUUUAUAUGUAACAACAAUAAGAGUGGAAUGUCGUACGCAAGGAUUAUAACACUGUGGAAUAUCAUAUUAAUGUAUCGAAUAUUUCAGCGGCAUAACGACAUAUAAAUAUUGAAUCCGCAGAUCAAAGUCCAAUUUAUCGCAAUAAAAUUAAACAACAGCAACUCAAUAUUAUACAUCAUCUACAAAUUAUGUACACUCAUUGAAACAUGAUAAAUAUCCAGCUCAACCUAAUUGAAAUAGCAAGGCAAAAAAACUG